UACGGGGGGGGCAAGCGUUGUUCGGAAUUACUGGGCGUAAAGGGCUCGUAGGCGGCCAACUAAGUCGGACGUGAAAUCCCCAGGCUCAACCUGGGAACUGCGUCCGAUACUGGAUGGCUUGAAUCCGGGAGAGGGAUGCAGAAUUCCAGGUGUAGCGGUGAAAUGCGUAGAUAUCAGGAGGAACACCCGUGGCGAAGGCGGCUCUCUGGAUCGGCCCUGACGCUGAGGCGCGAAAGCGUGGGGAGCGAACGGG
This 253-nucleotide ribosomal RNA is filed under the name uncultured bacterium. RNAcentral's name for it is "partial 16S ribosomal RNA". It matches the Rfam family "Bacterial small subunit ribosomal RNA", at positions 524 to 776 of the family's 1533-position model. The record is from RNAcentral.